UACGUAGGGUGCAAGCGUUAAUCGGAAUUACUGGGCGUAAAGCGUGCGAAGGCGGUUGUGCAAGACAGAUGUGAAAUCCCCGGGCUUAACCUGGGAAUUGCAUUUGUGACUGCACGGCUAGAGUGUGUCAGAGGGGGGUAGAAUUCCACGUGUAGCAGUGAAAUGCGUAGAUAUGUGGAGGAAUACCGAUGGCGAAGGCAGCCCCCUGGGAUAACACUGACGCUCAUGCACGAAAGCGUGGGGAGCAAACAGG
Molecule: ribosomal RNA, 253 nt
Filed under: uncultured bacterium
Lineage: Bacteria
Description: partial 16S ribosomal RNA
Rfam family: Bacterial small subunit ribosomal RNA
Source: RNAcentral